UUUUUUUUAUUAGAUAAAUAGUUGAACAAUUAAAUUAAAAACAUGCUCCUACAUAUAGCAACAAUUAUAGAUGAUAUGAUAUAAAAAAUAUAUUUUAUUCAUGGAAAAUGGAUAUAAUAUAUGUCUUGUUAUAUGUAGGAACAAGGCAAUAACAGUAUAUUUACAAGCGUUGCACGGCUGUCUUCAGUUAAUGUCGCGAGGCUAUGGUUAGUUCCAUUAAUUAACGUAAACCCUUACUUUAUUUUUAUAUAGAGUAGUUCCCCACUAGAUUGGAUAUGAUAACAGGGACUAAGACAA
This 297-nucleotide ribosomal RNA is filed under the name Bulbothrix tabacina. Its description in RNAcentral is "partial small subunit ribosomal RNA". The record is from RNAcentral. Lineage: Eukaryota; Fungi; Ascomycota; Lecanoromycetes; Lecanorales; Parmeliaceae.